UUUUUAUGAUUGUUGAGUUGUUAAGAGACUGUUUUUUGUCUAGAAGACAAUCAAGGUGCUGUGGAAUGCUAAAACGACACUAUAAUUAGCGAGGAACUGUCGUUGUUCGCUAGAGGUUCUGGAGCGCUCGUGUUUGUGUUAGCUUCAAAACGAUACCUGGUGUGUACUCCGACUGUGUAGAAAGCGAGAAUCGGUGAAAGUUGAAAACGAUUCUGUCGAUGCCAUAUCGGCGUGUAGUCGCCCGUGUGGUAGGCCGUGUGGCAGUACACGGGAGUGUGAUCGACGAACCAGGCGUUGCCCGCGACACGGGUGCGACGGACAUGGCCAUGUGAUGAUUGGCUAGGUCGUGUUCGAGACACGAGCUCGGCCAAUUGGGCCCACACGAGUGAACCACACAGGCGUGUGGGGAUUUGGGUCAGACCGUGUAAUCUACACGGGCAGGCCAUAUGGGCGUGUGAGCCCACUUUUCUGAAAUGUUCUAAAAGGUUACGUAGGUUGCCCAAAGCGACUGUGACCUGUCAUAGGGUCGGUAAUCCCCAGCAGUAGGUGGAUUGGUGCAGCGAAGGACUCGACGGUGACUACGGCCACUUACUCAUGGGUUUAUGUUUAAAUACUCUACCACGUUAUUUUAUUACUAUUUUAGGGAUAUUUUUUGUAAUUAUGGACUUGGACUUUUGGUUUUAA
Molecule: long non-coding RNA, 684 nt
Organism: Gossypium arboreum
Lineage: Eukaryota; Viridiplantae; Streptophyta; Magnoliopsida; Malvales; Malvaceae
Exons: 3
Source: RefSeq, a predicted model, not a curated record